GACGAACGCUGGCGGCGUGCUUAACACAUGCAAGUCGAACGGAAAGGCCCUGCUUUUGUGUGUUGCUCGAUUGGCGAACGGGUGAGUAACACGUGAGUAACCUGCCCUUGACUUUGGGAUAACUUCAGGGAACUGGGGCUAAUACCGGAUAGGAUCUCCUGCUGCAUGGUGGGGGUUGGAAAGUUUCGGCGUUUGGGGAUGGACUCGCGGCUUAUCAGCUUGUUUGUGGGGUAGUGGCUUACCAAGGAUUUGACGGGUAGCCGGCCUGAGAGGGUGACCGGCCACAUUGGGACUGAGAUACGGCCCAGACUCCUACGGGAGGCAGCAGUGGGGAAUAUUGCACAAUGGGCGGAAGCGUGAUGCAGCAACGCCGCGUGCGGGAUGCCGGCCUUCGGGUUGUAAACCGCUUUCGCAUGUGACGAAGCGUGAGUGACGGUAAUGGGUAAAGAAGCACCGGCUAACUACGUG
This 468-nucleotide ribosomal RNA is filed under the name uncultured bacterium. Its description in RNAcentral is "partial 16S ribosomal RNA". It matches the Rfam family "Bacterial small subunit ribosomal RNA", at positions 28 to 507 of the family's 1533-position model. The record is from RNAcentral.